GGGGCGGUGGCGGAACAGGCAGACGCAGCAGACUUAAAAUCUGCCGGCCGGAAGGUCGUGCGGGUUCGAUCCCCGCCCGCCCCA
RNAcentral lists this transfer RNA (84 nucleotides) under Anaerolineaceae bacterium. RNAcentral describes it as "tRNA-Leu". It matches the Rfam family "tRNA". Rfam says of the family: Transfer RNA (tRNA) molecules are approximately 80 nucleotides in length. Their secondary structure includes four short double-helical elements and three loops (D, anti-codon, and T loops). The record is from RNAcentral. Lineage: Bacteria; Bacillati; Chloroflexota; Anaerolineae; Anaerolineales; Anaerolineaceae. RNAcentral also lists the same sequence under 2 other names.